This is a small nucleolar RNA of Nerophis lumbriciformis (worm pipefish), 126 nucleotides long. RefSeq annotates it as small nucleolar RNA SNORA71. The record is from RefSeq and is a predicted model, not a curated record. NCBI's taxonomy places the organism in Eukaryota, Metazoa, Chordata, Actinopteri, Syngnathiformes, Syngnathidae.
CCCUGUAUCGAAAGUGAUUAUGGCGUCUGUGUUGCCAGGUCAUUUAUAAGCAGGAAGAUCAAAUUGAGAGCCUUUCCCGUGUUUGAAGGAAUGCCUCUUCCUAUCAAACCCUGAUGCUCUCAGACA